RNAcentral lists this ribosomal RNA (254 nucleotides) under uncultured bacterium. RNAcentral's name for it is "partial 16S ribosomal RNA". It matches the Rfam family "Bacterial small subunit ribosomal RNA", at positions 524 to 776 of the family's 1533-position model. The record is from RNAcentral.
UACGGGGGGAGCAAGCGUUGUUCGGAUUUACUGGGCGUAAAGGGCGCGUAGGCGGCCUCCGCAAGUCAGUUGUGAAAUCUCCGGGCUUAACCCGGAAAGGUCAACUGAUACUGCGGGGCUAGAGUGCAGAAGGGGCAACCGGAAUUCUCGGUGUAGCGGUGAAAUGCGUAGAUAUCGAGAGGAACACCUGCGGCGAAGGCGGGUUGCUGGGCUGACACUGACGCUGAAGCGCGAAAGCGUGGGGAGCGAACAGG